Long non-coding RNA from Macrobrachium nipponense, 763 nucleotides. RefSeq lists it as uncharacterized. The transcript is spliced from 6 exons. Lineage: Eukaryota; Metazoa; Arthropoda; Malacostraca; Decapoda; Palaemonidae. The record is from RefSeq and is a predicted model, not a curated record.
GGUCUCUGAUUGGCCAAGAGAAGGUCUUACCCACUUGCUUAACUUCUUGAGCACUUCUUAGACAGCCGGCAAGAAGAAAGUUCGACGAUGUUUUUAAAGCUAUGAAUUUGCAACUUUCGUUUCUACGAAAUUCCGGUAAUGCAGUACAGCACCUGUCUGAAGACCUGCCCUCCCCUCCGGCUUAGCGGUCAAGACCCAUGAGGGAAAGGACUGCACUCUCAAGAUAUUUGUCCAUAUAAGGUAAUCAGAACCUUGGAAAAAUCGUUUGCAAGUUAUAAACGGAGUACUAUGAUGUACUGGAGACUUUAAAAGCAGACUGCUGAAGUAACCAAAGGAAGGCCUCAUAAAAGAAUUACGUAAGCCUUCAGACUGAAAUCAUGGUAGGAGUGGUUUAUAUUCUUCAUUCAUGAUUUUGGUGUCACAGUUCCCUUGUUAUCAGAAAACCAGUGGAGGAAAUCGAAGGGUGGCUAUAGGCCAUGUCUGCCUUUCUGUCUCCCUGAUGUCUUGAUGUGAAUAUUUCCAGUUUCCUUCAAAGGUUGAAGUUGUCCAGGACCUUUCAAAAGGUUGGCCAGGCAAGAGAAGAGCGAGAGAGAAAAAACAGCGGUACUUACUAUACUGUUAAUGAGAGGAUCUGAAAACAAGUAGACUGCUAGCAGCUAGAGCACGACAGCAAGGUGACUCGGAGGAGAGCACGAUAGCAAAAAGACAAGGACCAGAGCACGAUAGCAAAAAGACAAGGAGCAGAGCACGAUAGCAAAAAGAC